Molecule: ribosomal RNA, 460 nt
Filed under: uncultured bacterium
Lineage: Bacteria
Description: partial 16S ribosomal RNA
Rfam family: Bacterial small subunit ribosomal RNA
Source: RNAcentral
CCUACGGGUGGCAGCAGUGAGGAAUAUUUGUCAAUGGACGCAAGUCUGAACCAGCCAUGCCGCGUGCAGGAAGACGGCUCUAUGAGUUGUAAACUGCUUUUGUACGAGGGUAAACGCAGAUACGCGUAUAUGUAUGAAAGUAUCAUACGAAUAAGGAUCGGCUAACUCCGUGCCAGCAGCCGCUGUAAUACGGAGGAUUCAAGCGUUAUCCGGGUUUAUUGGGUUGAAAGGGUGCGUAGGCGGUCGGAUAAGUCAGAGGUGAAAGCCCGAGGUUCAACUUCGGAAUUGCCUUUGAUACUGUUCGGCUAGAGAGUAGUAGCGGUAGGCGGAAUGUAUGGUGUAGCGGUGAAAUGCUUAGAGAUCAGACAGAACACCGAUUGCGAAGGCAGCUUACUAGGCUGCUUCUGACGUUGAGGCACGAAAGCGUGGGGAGCAAACAGGAUUAGAUACCCUAGUAGUC